Molecule: signal recognition particle RNA, 267 nt
Filed under: Niallia endozanthoxylica
Lineage: Bacteria; Bacillati; Bacillota; Bacilli; Caryophanales; Bacillaceae
Description: Bacterial large signal recognition particle RNA
Rfam family: Bacterial large signal recognition particle RNA
About the family: The signal recognition particle (SRP) is a universally conserved ribonucleoprotein involved in the co-translational targeting of proteins to membranes.
Source: Rfam by way of RNAcentral
CCGUGCUAGACGGGGAGUUAGCGGUGCCCUGUACCCGCAAUCCGCUAUAGCGGGGUUGAAUGCCUAUUUGAGGUUUGAACAUGUAAGGUCUGCCUUACAAAAGUGAGCGUUGACAAUUGGGUCCUGCGCAAUGGGAACCUAUGAAUCUGGUCAGGUCCGGAAGGAAGCAGCCAUAAGUAGACUUUUCCAUGUGCCGUGGGGUAGCCUAGUUCGAGUUACCUUUUGUAAGUAACGCUUGGUUGUUCCUGUCGAGAAUAGGAUGCACGG